This is a long non-coding RNA of Cyprinus carpio (common carp), 2523 nucleotides long. Lineage: Eukaryota; Metazoa; Chordata; Actinopteri; Cypriniformes; Cyprinidae. The record is from Ensembl.
GAUAAACAAACUAUUGUUUCAGAAAUGUGAAUAGAGACAGUAUUAAAGUAGUUCUGUGCACUCUUUAGAAGUGUUUUGUAACUGAGAAGUUAUUCUUCUUGUUACAUAUUUUUCCUAGUUUCAGUCUUGUUUUGUGUGUAUUUAAAAAAUAACUGUUGAGCUUCUCUGAAAAGCUUCCUGUUAUUUUUUUGUUAAAGUGGUGUAGUUUCCUGAUGUGUCAGUAGAGCUGCUGUCUGCGUGAGACUCGAUCUGACACUCUUCUGCUGGGAUUGAGCUCUUCUGGAAACUGAACUUUAGAGAAAUGAUGCUGAUCUUUGGACUGAUGCUGCUGCUGCAAACUGCUGCAUGUGUGGAGUGGAACUGCAGUUUUAAUCAAUCAUAUCCCUGUUACGCAGCCCUGGGAGACAAACUCAAUCUGCUGAUGGUCCGGGAUGCCAGUGAAUAUGACCUGAAUUUAAAAAAGAGAAUAAACAACACACAAGAUGAUCAAGUUUGUAGAGUAAAAUAUGGCAACAAGAAGGAAUGUGAUCUUUAUAAUAACAGAACUGAAGUGACAGUCAUUAAUGGGACUGUGAUAAUAAACCGUGUGAUCAGAGCAGAUUCUGGAAAUUACAGAUUAACACUCACCGAACACUCAGGUGGCACAGAAACAUCUAGAGAUCUUCAAGUGAUUGUUGAAGGUACAGAAACUCUCUCAUCAGACUCAUUCCAGUCUCAUGUUCUCUAAAGAUCUCACUCUCAUGCAGAUGAAUCAGUUGAAUCUCUGUGAAGGUUUUUAUUCCUGUAGCACACAGUAAACACACUACAGACUCCAGUAAUAGUAUGAGUAAUGUGGAAGAACAAGAUUCUUCUGUGUUUGUCAUGUGACUGUCAUGUGUCCCUCCCUCCAGCUCCAGUUGCCUCAGUGGAAGUGUCAAUCAGCUGCUCCUCCAAUCAGAGGUCAGUGUCCUGCUCCUCAGAGGGGGAUCAGCUCCUCUACAGCUGGACUCUGAAUGGAGAUCCACAGAAGGAUGGAAACAGCAGCAUUGAUCUGGAUGAGGGAACUGAUGGAAACAUCAGCUGCAGCGUGAAGAACCACGUCAGUCACGUACAGAAGACCAUUAGAAUCAAAACCUGUCCUGGUCCAGAUCGUUUUUGCAGUUUUUAUCAAUCAGAUUCCUGUUACGCAGCUGUGGGAGACGAUCUUAAUCUACUGAUGGUGCGGGAUGCUCGAGAUCAAGAGCUGCAUUUGUAUAAGGAGUUAAUGGAUAGCAGAGAACUGGAAGUUUUUAGAAUAAAGAACAAAAAAGAGAAAAAACAUGAAUCCAUCAGAAACAGAUCUGAGUUCAUCUUUGAUAAUGGGACUCUGAUAAUAAACCGUGUGAUCAGAGCAGAUUCAGGGAAUUACAGAUUAGAAUUCUAUCACUCAGACGGUUUAAGACCGUUUAAAAAGCUUCUUCGUAUUAAUAUUGAAGCUCCUACUGGCUCAGUGGAAAUGUCAAUCAGCUGCUCCUCCAAUCAGAGGUCAGUGUCCUGCUCCUCUGAGGGCGAUCAGAUCAUCUACAGCUGGACUUUGAAUGGAGAAAUACUAGAACAAGGACCAAUGGAUGGAAUCACCACCAUUCAGCUAAAUGAGGAAACUGAUGGAAACAUCAGCUGCAGUGUCAAGAACCACAUCAGUCACGCACAGAAGACAAUUAAAGUCAAACCCUGUCCUGGUCCGGAUCGGUUCUGCAGUUUUAAUCAAUCAGAUCCCUGUUACACAGCUCUGGGAGACAAACUCAAUCUGCUGAUGGUGCUGAACACUAGAGAAUAUGACCUGAAGAUACGUAAGAGGAUAUACAACACUCAAGAUGAUCCAGUUUGUAGAGUAAAAUAUGGCAGGAUGAAGGAAUGUGAUCUUAAUAAUAACAGACCUGAAGUGAACAUCAUUAAUGGGACUGUGAUAAUAAACCGUGUGAUCAGAGCAGAUUCUGGGAAUUACAGAUUAACACUCACUGACUCAAAAGGCACAGAAACAUCUAGAGAUCUUCAAGUGAUUGUUGAAGCUCCUAUUGGCUCAGUGGAAGUGUCAAUCAUCUGCUCCUCCAGUGGGGUGAUGAGGGUGUUCUGCUCCUCUGAGGGGGAUCAGCUCCUCUACAGCUGGACUCUGAAUGGAGAUCCACUGAUGGAUGGAAACAGCAGCAUUGAUCUGGAUGAGGGAACUGAUGGAGACAUCAGCUGCAGCGUGAAGAACCACGUCAGUCACGCACAGAAGACCAUUAGAGUCCAACCCUGUCCUGUGUCUGUGGUGUUUGUUCUGGUCUGGUGUCUCCAGAUGAUGGUUCUGUUGGGUCUGUUAGGAGCUUUUCACAUCUACAUGAGACACAUGUCAGGAAAGAAACAGGAAGAUCAGAAAGUGAGAAUAAAACUAUUUAGAGAGUGAUAUGAACACACAGCAGAAGGUCUUCACAUCUGUGAGAAAUGACUUCAGAAUCUCAGUGAUUCUCACAUCAGUCCAGCUUUCACCUGCUGAAUAAAACCCGGAGACAGAAGAAGCUUUCA